Long non-coding RNA from Salvia miltiorrhiza (redroot sage), 344 nucleotides. RefSeq lists it as uncharacterized. NCBI's taxonomy places the organism in Eukaryota, Viridiplantae, Streptophyta, Magnoliopsida, Lamiales, Lamiaceae. The record is from RefSeq and is a predicted model, not a curated record. The transcript has 2 exons.
AUAGAAAGCAAAUUUUUUGUUGAAUAAUCUGAUCCGAAACUAGCGGAUUGCUUUGAACAAGUAGAUGCAGAUUCCUUCUUCUUCAAGAACUCUAUUUGAGCAAAGACUUUCGCUUAUGAUAGGAAACUAAUUAAUCUUUCACUAUAAAAGGGCUUCUAUAGUUCAGAUUUUUCCAUCAGCUGAAACGAAAUUUGCAUCAUCAUUAUUCUUCAUGUUUUCUUUCUUUGGUGUUGAAUUCUUGGGAUAGGAGCUUGUGAUCAAUCUUUACUUUUGUGUUGUCCCGAAUACAUAAGCUUUGUAAUUUCUUUAUUAAUUUCCCUCUUUGUGUAAAACAUCUUGCUGUA